AACGAACGCUGGCGGCAUGCCUAACACAUGCAAGUCGAACGAGAUCCUUCGGGGUCUAGUGGCGCACGGGUGCGUAACGCGUGGGAAUCUGCCCUUAGGUUCGGAAUAACAGUUAGAAAUGACUGCUAAUACCGGAUGAUGACGUUAAGUCCAAAGGUUUAUCGCCUGAGGAUGAGCCCGCGUAGGAUUAGCUAGUUGGUGUGGUAAAGGCGCACCAAGGCGACGAUCCUUAGCUGGUCUGAGAGGCUGAUCAGCCACACUGGGACUGAGACACGGCCCAGACUCCUACGGGAUGCGGGAAUGGGGGAUAUUGCACCGUCGGCGGAGGGCUGAUCCAGCUAUGCCGCGUAAGUGAUGAAGUCCUUGAGGUUGUAAAGCGCUUUUACCCGAGAUGAUAAUGACGGUAUCGGGAGAAUAAGCCCCGGCUAACUCCGUG
This 436-nucleotide ribosomal RNA is filed under the name uncultured bacterium. RNAcentral describes it as "partial 16S ribosomal RNA". It matches the Rfam family "Bacterial small subunit ribosomal RNA", at positions 29 to 507 of the family's 1533-position model. The record is from RNAcentral.